UCCGGUGUGGCGCAGCGGUAGCGCAGCGGACUGUUAAUCCGUUGGUCGUUGGUUCGAAUCCAACCGCCGGAGCCA
RNAcentral lists this transfer RNA (75 nucleotides) under Paeniroseomonas aquatica. RNAcentral describes it as "tRNA-Asn". It matches the Rfam family "tRNA". From Rfam's summary of the family: Transfer RNA (tRNA) molecules are approximately 80 nucleotides in length. Their secondary structure includes four short double-helical elements and three loops (D, anti-codon, and T loops). Lineage: Bacteria; Pseudomonadati; Pseudomonadota; Alphaproteobacteria; Acetobacterales; Acetobacteraceae. RNAcentral also lists the same sequence under 2 other names. The record is from RNAcentral.